UGUUGAGUGUUUCUCAUCAUAUAUCAGUACUGAUUAUCAGAUCUAUCUAUUUCCCAGAGUUUUCUUCAAGGGACCCUGGUUUUAAAUGUGAUACACAACAGAAUCCCACAACACACCUUAAAUACAAGGAGAAUUAAAACUGCAAGCAGCGAUGACGGCCCCUCGCACCCGGGAUCACCACCACCUGGUGGUUUUAGGAAAACAGCAAACGCUGGGCAACAUGCAUUUAAAGUGGAAAAUAUAGGAGGAAUAUGUAAAAAUGUAUAUGUGACAAAGUACCUGCUGCCAGCUGGUGGCGCUAUGUUUAUAACUCAAUAUUGGCAUGUAGAUGUCUUCUGGCCAGGACCUUUAUCAAACAUGUGAAGUCUGGUGAAGAUUGAACAUGGUAUGUUUGAGUUAGUGUAAAGCAUAGCAUAUCCUGUUGCCAACAGGUGGCACUAUGAUUAUAACUGAAUAUUGGACUUAAGAUGUGUUCAGGCCAGAACUCUUAUCAAACAUGUGAAGUUUAAGGCAUAUCAGACAUCGCAUGUUUAACCCGUUGAGCGGUACGGCCCCACAUGUGGGAUUUUUAUUUCCGUGCCCCUGGGAGUACAGUCCCACAUAUGGGAUUUAGGACAUUUGGGGCAGAUUGGGCACUGCAUGCCUGAUCAAAUGUAGCGUAUUGUUGAGCUACCCAUGAUGCACUCUGCCUUGCAGUUUUUCAGAUGCUAAUGAGCUGUGGGGCUGAGUGCUCUAAAUUAGUCUGUGUGAUUGAGACUGGCCUAUUUGGAGAAGGCCUGGCUGGUCUUUGGGAAUGGAGUGAGUGGAGAGGCCCUCCGCCUCUUUUGUGUGGGCUGUAUAGGCACAGAUGUUCCCCUCGCCCCACACAGGGCCCCAAGCUCCCUAAUCGCCACCUUGUAUGCGUGUGGAUUGCACCUGCCUGCCUGCAAUCUAUCCCCUUGUUUUUCCAUGCUUUCUCAUUCCCCCUCGUUCAGUCUCUUUCUUUCAUUCUUUCAUUGGCGCUUUCAGUCUCUAUGAGAGCCUUACAAGCCGUAUGACCUCCAAAU
Long non-coding RNA from Cyprinus carpio carpio, 1046 nucleotides. NCBI's taxonomy places the organism in Eukaryota, Metazoa, Chordata, Actinopteri, Cypriniformes, Cyprinidae. The record is from Ensembl.